GUCGCCGGCCAAAGAGAAGUGGUAAGAUCCGUACCCUUUUCGAACACGGUAAUGAAUCGCUUCAUCGAUUUUGGCUGUACUGUAGAAAAUACGGGAACCCAAAGACGCUGGCGACC
Molecule: ribosomal RNA, 116 nt
Filed under: Candidatus Aenigmatarchaeota archaeon
Lineage: Archaea; Nanobdellati; Candidatus Aenigmatarchaeota
Source: RNAcentral